Non-coding RNA from Danio rerio (zebrafish), 73 nucleotides. The record is from Rfam. Lineage: Eukaryota; Metazoa; Chordata; Actinopteri; Cypriniformes; Danionidae.
GCCCGGCUAGCUCAGUCGGUUGAGCAUGAGACUCUUAAUGUCAGGGUUGUGGGUUCGAGCCCCACGUUGGGCG